RNAcentral lists this ribosomal RNA (478 nucleotides) under uncultured organism. Its description in RNAcentral is "partial 16S ribosomal RNA". It matches the Rfam family "Bacterial small subunit ribosomal RNA", at positions 331 to 800 of the family's 1533-position model. The record is from RNAcentral.
GUACACUCCUACGGGAGGCAGCAGUGGGGAAUUUUGGACAAUGGGCGAAAGCCUGAUCCAGCAAUGCCGCGUGUGUGAAGAAGGCCUUCGGGUUGUAAAGCACUUUUGUCCGGAAAGAAAUCCUUGGCUCUAAUACAGUCGGGGGAUGACGGUACCGGAAGAAUAAGCACCGGCUAACUACGUGCCAGCAGCCGCGGUAAUACGUAGGGUGCGAGCGUUAAUCGGAAUUACUGGGCGUAAAGCGUGCGCAGGCGGUUUGCUAAGACCGAUGUGAAAUCCCCGGGCUCAACCUGGGGACUGCAUUGGUGACUGGCAGGCUAGAGUAUGGCAGAGGGGGGUAGAAUUCCAGGUGUAGCAGUGAAAUGCGUAGAGAUGUGGAGGAAUACCGAUGGCGAAUGCAGCCCCCUGGGCCAAUACUGACGCUCAUGCACGAAAGCGUGGGGAGCAAACAGGAUUAGAAACCCUUGUAGUCCCAUGA